Molecule: ribosomal RNA, 518 nt
Filed under: Salmonella enterica
Lineage: Bacteria; Pseudomonadati; Pseudomonadota; Gammaproteobacteria; Enterobacterales; Enterobacteriaceae
Description: bacterial SSU rRNA
Rfam family: Bacterial small subunit ribosomal RNA
Source: RNAcentral
UCUGCAGAGAUGCGGAAGUGCCUUCGGGAACUGUGAGACAGGUGCUGCAUGGCUGUCGUCAGCUCGUGUUGUGAAAUGUUGGGUUAAGUCCCGCAACGAGCGCAACCCUUAUCCUUUGUUGCCAGCGAUUAGGUCGGGAACUCAAAGGAGACUGCCAGUGAUAAACUGGAGGAAGGUGGGGAUGACGUCAAGUCAUCAUGGCCCUUACGACCAGGGCUACACACGUGCUACAAUGGCGCAUACAAAGAGAAGCGACCUCGCGAGAGCAAGCGGACCUCAUAAAGUGCGUCGUAGUCCGGAUUGGAGUCUGCAACUCGACUCCAUGAAGUCGGAAUCGCUAGUAAUCGUGGAUCAGAAUGCCACGGUGAAUACGUUCCCGGGCCUUGUACACACCGCCCGUCACACCAUGGGAGUGGGUUGCAAAAGAAGUAGGUAGCUUAACCUUCGGGAGGGCGCUUACCACUUUGUGAUUCAUGACUGGGGUGAAGUCGUAACAAGGUAACCGUAGGGGAACCUGC